ACCAAUCAAUUACACUUUUUAGCCCUAAUUUCACUAAAGAUUUGGAGGAGCAGAGCAAGGAAUCAAGAUCACGAGAAUUGCAGAUUUGAGUGAGGAUAAGGGUGGUGUUUUUGUGGCGACCCCAAAUCCAGGUACUUGAAACCCGAACUCGGUUCUCCACGAUACCAUUUCUUUAAGCUGAAUAAUACUAAAUAAUAAUAUAAUUCGAACUUAAUUUACAUACAUCAAAGUUUACUUUCCC
RNAcentral lists this long non-coding RNA (241 nucleotides) under Panax ginseng (ginseng). RNAcentral describes it as "long non-coding RNA (PGIN_LNC015111)". Lineage: Eukaryota; Viridiplantae; Streptophyta; Magnoliopsida; Apiales; Araliaceae. The record is from RNAcentral.